This is a ribosomal RNA of Sinocyclocheilus anshuiensis, 109 nucleotides long. The record is from Ensembl. Lineage: Eukaryota; Metazoa; Chordata; Actinopteri; Cypriniformes; Cyprinidae.
UGCAGCUAUCACUCUGCAGCUUUCGCCUGGUCUCCCACUGACGCUAAGCAGGGUUGAGUUUGGCCAGUACCUGGAUGGGAGACCUCUUGGUUAAUCUAGGUUGCUGCUA